GACGAACGCUGGCGGCGUGCUUAACACAUGCAAGUCGAACGGAAAUGCCCUGCUUUUGUGGGGUGCGCGAGUGGCGACGGGGUGAGUAACACGUGAGUACCCUGUCCUUGAGUGUGGGAUAUCUUCAGGAAAAUGGGGCUAAUACCGGGUAGGAUCUCUUGCUUCAUGGUGGGGGUGGGAAAGUUUCGGCGGUUGGGGAUGGACUCGCGGCUUAUCAGCUUGUUUGUGGGGUAGGGGCUUACCAAGGCUUAGACGGGUAGCGGGCCUGAGAGGGUGACAGGCCACACUGGGACUGAGAUACGACCCAGACUCAUACGGGAGGCAGGGGUGGAGUAUAGUGCCCAAUGGGCUGAGGGAUGGUGUAACAACGCCGCGUCGGGUAUGUCGGCCUUCUGGUUGGAAACCGCUUUCGUCUGUCACGAAGCGUGAGUGACGGUAAUGGGUAAAGAAGCCCCGGCUAACUACGUG
Molecule: ribosomal RNA, 468 nt
Filed under: uncultured bacterium
Lineage: Bacteria
Description: partial 16S ribosomal RNA
Rfam family: Bacterial small subunit ribosomal RNA
Source: RNAcentral